RNAcentral lists this ribosomal RNA (1514 nucleotides) under Salmonella enterica. RNAcentral describes it as "partial 23S ribosomal RNA". It matches the Rfam family "Bacterial large subunit ribosomal RNA", at positions 1292 to 2789 of the family's 2925-position model. Lineage: Bacteria; Pseudomonadati; Pseudomonadota; Gammaproteobacteria; Enterobacterales; Enterobacteriaceae. The record is from RNAcentral.
GAAUGCUGACAUAAGUAACGAUAAAGCGGGUGAAAAGCCCGCUCGCCGGAAGACCAAGGGUUCCUGUCCAACGUUAAUCGGGGCAGGGUGAGUCGACCCCUAAGGCGAGGCCGAAAGGCGUAGUCGAUGGGAAACGGGUUAAUAUUCCCGUACUUGGUGUUACUGCGAAGGGGGGACGGAGAAGGCUAUGUUGGCCGGGCGACGGUUGUCCCGGUUUAAGCGUGUAGGUGUGUGUUCCAGGUAAAUCCGGUUCACUUUAACACUGAGGCGUGACGACGAGGCACUACGGUGCUGAAGCAACAAAUGCCCUGCUUCCAGGAAAAGCCUCUAAGCAUCAGGUAACAUCAAAUCGUACCCCAAACCGACACAGGUGGUCAGGUAGAGAAUACCAAGGCGCUUGAGAGAACUCGGGUGAAGGAACUAGGCAAAAUGGUGCCGUAACUUCGGGAGAAGGCACGCUGACACGUAGGUGAAGUGAUUUACUCAUGGAGCUGAAGUCAGUCGAAGAUACCAGCUGGCUGCAACUGUUUAUUAAAAACACAGCACUGUGCAAACACGAAAGUGGACGUAUACGGUGUGACGCCUGCCCGGUGCCGGAAGGUUAAUUGAUGGGGUCAGCGCAAGCGAAGCUCCUGAUCGAAGCCCCGGUAAACGGCGGCCGUAACUAUAACGGUCCUAAGGUAGCGAAAUUCCUUGUCGGGUAAGUUCCGACCUGCACGAAUGGCGUAAUGAUGGCCAGGCUGUCUCCACCCGAGACUCAGUGAAAUUGAACUCGCUGUGAAGAUGCAGUGUACCCGCGGCAAGACGGAAAGACCCCGUGAACCUUUACUAUAGCUUGACACUGAACAUUGAGCCUUGAUGUGUAGGAUAGGUGGGAGGCUUUGAAGUGUGGACGCCAGUCUGCAUGGAGCCGACCUUGAAAUACCACCCUUUAAUGUUUGAUGUUCUAACGUGGACCCGUUACCCGGGUUGCGGACAGUGUCUGGUGGGUAGUUUGACUGGGGCGGUCUCCUCCUAAAGAGUAACGGAGGAGCACGAAGGUUGGCUAAUCCUGGUCGGACAUCAGGAGGUUAGUGCAAUGGCAUAAGCCAGCUUGACUGCGAGCGUGACGGCGCGAGCAGGUGCGAAAGCAGGUCAUAGUGAUCCGGUGGUUCUGAAUGGAAGGGCCAUCGCUCAACGGAUAAAAGGUACUCCGGGGAUAACAGGCUGAUACCGCCCAAGAGUUCAUAUCGACGGCGGUGUUUGGCACCUCGAUGUCGGCUCAUCACAUCCUGGGGCUGAAGUAGGUCCCAAGGGUAUGGCUGUUCGCCAUUUAAAGUGGUACGCGAGCUGGGUUUAGAACGUCGUGAGACAGUUCGGUCCCUAUCUGCCGUGGGCGCUGGAGAACUGAGGGGGGCUGCUCCUAGUACGAGAGGACCGGAGUGGACGCAUCACUGGUGUUCGGGUUGUCAUGCCAAUGGCACUGCCCGGUAGCUAAAUGCGGAAGAGAUAAGUGCUGAAAGCAUCUAAGCACG